GUAAAAGUCGUAACAAGGUUUCCGUAGGUGAACCUGCGGAAGGAUCAUUAUCGAAUAAACUUGAACAGGUUGUUGCUGGCCCUCCACCCCGAGGGUAUGUGCACGCUUGUCAUCUUUAUCUCUCCAACUGUGCACAUAUUGUAGACCUGGAAUUGUUUUUGCUGAUUCACCUCGAGUUGGGAUUGCUGUGCUUCUCCUGUUUGAAGUCGGCUUUCCCUUUUCAUUUCCAGGUCUAUGUUGUUUUCACACACCUUUGAAUGUGAUUAGAAUGUUGAAUCAAUAAACAUACAACUUUCAGCAACGGAUCUCUUGGCUCUCGCAUCGAUGAAGAACGCAGCGAAAUGCGAUAAGUAAUGUGAAUUGCAGAAUUCAGUGAAUCAUCGAAUCUUUGAACGCAUCUUGCGCUCCUUGGUAUUCCGAGGAGCAUGCCUGUUUGAGUGUCAUUUAAAUUCUCAACCACACCAGAUUUCUUUCUGAUGUGGCUUGGAUGUGGGGGGUUCUUUUUUUGCUGGCUUUAUAUAUUGAAGUCGGCUCCCCUAAAAUGAAUUAGUAGUAUCUGAGCAGAGAAAGUACUACAGGUGUGAUAAAUUAUCUAUGCCUCUAGUAUGCUGCAUGAACAGAUUGUGCUGCUUCUAAAAAAUAUUUGAUUGAUGAAUUUGACCUCAAAUCAGGUAGGACUACCCGCUGAACUUAAGCA
Molecule: ribosomal RNA, 697 nt
Filed under: uncultured Inocybe
Lineage: Eukaryota; Fungi; Basidiomycota; Agaricomycetes; Agaricales; Cortinariaceae
Description: eukaryotic LSU rRNA
Rfam family: 5.8S ribosomal RNA (bases 290-443)
Source: RNAcentral